This 1179-nucleotide transfer RNA is filed under the name Meriones unguiculatus (Mongolian gerbil). RNAcentral's name for it is "lncRNA (ENSMUGG00000015967.1)". The stretch from base 110 to 199 matches the Rfam family "tRNA". Lineage: Eukaryota; Metazoa; Chordata; Mammalia; Rodentia; Muridae. The record is from RNAcentral.
GGCCCGGGGUCCGCGGCUUCCGGCGCCGGCCGCCGCCUACGCCCUGCGCGCCCGCCAGGAGGCAGCUUCGUGCUGAAAGCCUCUUUCCGGCGCGCUCCGCCCGUGCUUCCCUUCGAUAGCUCAGCUGGUAGAGCGGAGGACUGUAGUGGGAUGUGCGGCAGUCAUCCUUAGGUCGCUGGUUCGAUUCCGGCUCGAAGGAGUAGCCUGCAUUUUGGGCUUGCCACGCACUGAAAGCAAACGCCUCCGUCCAUCGUCCCUGGGUCGUUCCCCCUCUCCACGGAGGGAUCGCAACAAACCUUGCGCAGUGGCUCAGUACCACUAGUCCGCCUUAUAAAGAAGAAAACCUGAGGCUUCGGCCCCUCCUUCAUGUUUGCUUUUAGUUUCCAAUUAAGCCCAGUUUGCUGCCCUGCGUCCGGGCACCAAAGAACGCAAGAAGGGACAGAACCUCCCGGACUUGCCCCGACGGCCCGCGGGACUGGGAUGUGCAGAACAGAACCUCUUAGUGACCCCGGGGACGGCCCCGUAGACGCGCCGGCCCCCAGCCUCGCUGGCCCCGUCGGCCGCCGGGGUGGCCCCAGCCUGGCGGGACACGUCCUGCGCCCGUCCGCGGCGCGCAGCAGCCCUGCUCUGCAGCCGAGCCACCCCGGAGCGGCUCGUUGGUCUAGGGGUAUGAUUCUCGCUUUGGGUGCGAGAGGUCCCGGGUUCAAAUCCCGGACGAGCCCUGCUCUUUUAGCUGCUGGAAAAAGUUUGCCUCUCUACAAACUUUCUCGCGCUCUGACAGUUCCUAGGUUCCCGGAGCUGCCCCGCGAGCCUCCCCGCGUCCCCCUGGCUCUUGGUGCGUCUGCGGCUGGAGUUCCUCCUGGCAGUCAUCUGCAGCUGGUUCCCGUGUGGAAACCCACAUUGGUUGUCCGCUGGGGGGUUGGGGUUACUGCUUUGGGUUUUGCAGGCGGGCCCAGGCUGGAGGACCGGCCUGGAGAAACGCCCACCCUCCGUUCCUCUGCACCCGCCCCAAUCUGUUUGCGUGGCCAGGCGACGCCGACCUCACCGAUUUCCGCGACGAGAUUCCCAAGCGAGCUUCACUUCUGCUGUUCGGCAUCCCGCUGGGAAAGCAGGGGCGAGGAACAGCCACCGCCUCCAGCUCCGCGGCCAGACUCCAGUUACACAGGCCUGGGCAACUAA